UAAGACCCAAUAUCCAUAUAAUUAAACUGAUAUCAGCCGAGUGGUUCAUAACUAAAGAGUAAAAUUUUAUUUCUUCAUGAUAUCGGUUAGAACAUAAACAAUUUAAUCGAGCCGUUCGGAUUGGGUCUCGUCGAAUUGGGUACUCAUUUGGCAAAUAGGGUUAUACACAGGAGGAAGCUUCGGUGCUUGGAAUACAGACCUAAGUCCAAGUUUUGUCGUUAUAUUACUUUACCCCACGAAUAUUUUUCGACGUGUCCCUUAUUUUAUUGGCACGAUUUUCCUUGUAGUUAAUUUCUCUGAUAACUUCCAUUUCCAUGUGCUUUAGCGCUCCUUCCGCAGUCCCCCAAAGUUCAUGUCCUUCAAUGGCUAUAAUAGAAGACAAUCGAUCACUGCUUUGUUUUCGUCCUUCCCAAACGCUAGUGUUUUUUCCCAUCAAUUUUCCCCUAUUUCACCCACUAAUCAACCUCCUCAGAAAUUCCAAAAUUUUUCAAGCCAUAUCUCAUUU
Molecule: long non-coding RNA, 505 nt
Filed under: Gossypium barbadense (sea-island cotton)
Lineage: Eukaryota; Viridiplantae; Streptophyta; Magnoliopsida; Malvales; Malvaceae
Description: long non-coding RNA (GBAR_LNC016026)
Source: RNAcentral